This 253-nucleotide ribosomal RNA is filed under the name uncultured bacterium. Its description in RNAcentral is "partial 16S ribosomal RNA". It matches the Rfam family "Bacterial small subunit ribosomal RNA", at positions 524 to 776 of the family's 1533-position model. The record is from RNAcentral.
UACAGAGGGGGCAAGCGUUGUUCGGAAUUACUGGGCGUAAAGGGCGCGUAGGCGGCCCGCUAAGUCGAACGUGAAAUCCCCAGGCUCAACCUGGGAACUGCGUCCGAUACUGGCAGGCUUGAAUCCGGGAGAGGGAUGUGGAAUUCCAGGUGUAGCGGUGAAAUGCGCAGAUAUCAGGAAGAACACCGAUGGCGAAGGCAGCUCUCUGGGACGGUACUGACGCUGAGACGCGAAAGCGUGGGGAGCAAACAGG